This 191-nucleotide unclassified non-coding RNA is filed under the name uncultured fungus. Its description in RNAcentral is "sequence contains ITS1". Lineage: Eukaryota; Fungi. The record is from RNAcentral.
UUAACUAUUAUAUAGUACUCAGACGAUACUUAAACUCAGAGUUUAGGGUUCUCUGGCGAGCACUCACCAGCGUGAGCCGGUGGCCGAGGCGGCUCGCCAAAGCAACAAAGGUAUAAUAACAUAGGGUUGGAGAGUCACCUGUAAAGGCGAUGUUCUCUGUAAUGAUCCUUCCGCAGGUUCACCUACGGAAA